GCGAGUUCUACUGUACCUGCUAGCUCUUCGCGAGAACCAGCAACUGUAGAAACGGCAGUGACAGCAACUAAACAAACGUAAUGUGGCAAGGUUGAGCGUAGUCGAUUGCGUAAGUCUUCGUAAAUUCCCA
RNAcentral lists this unclassified non-coding RNA (130 nucleotides) under plant metagenome. RNAcentral describes it as "partial contains 5.8S ribosomal RNA, internal transcribed spacer 2, and large subunit ribosomal RNA". The record is from RNAcentral.